RNAcentral lists this ribosomal RNA (415 nucleotides) under uncultured microorganism. RNAcentral's name for it is "bacterial SSU rRNA". It matches the Rfam family "Archaeal small subunit ribosomal RNA", at positions 330 to 747 of the family's 1478-position model. The record is from RNAcentral.
GUGCAGCAGGCGAGAAACCUCCACAAUACACGAAAGUGUGACGGGGCCAUCCCGAGUGCCGUCCGCUGAGGACGACUUUUCCCCAGUGUACACAGCUGGGGGAAUAAGGAGAGGGCAAGCCUGGUGUCAGCCGCCGCGGUAAUACCAGCUCUCCGAGUGGUGGGGACGCUUAUCGGGCCUAAAGCAUCCGUAGCCGGCUGGGCAAGUCCUCCGUUAAAUCCAACGAUUCAAUCGUUGGGCUGCGGGGGAUACUGUCCAGCUUGGGGGCGGGAGAGGCCGACGGUAUUCCCGGGGUAGGGGUGAAAUCCUAUAAUCCCGGGAGGACCACCAGUGGCGAAGGCUGUCGGCUAGAACGCGCCCGACGGUGAGGGAUGAAAGCUGGGGGAGCGAACCGGAUUAGAUACCCCCGUAGUCC